This is a long non-coding RNA of Saccostrea echinata, 237 nucleotides long. RefSeq lists it as uncharacterized. The transcript has 4 exons. The record is from RefSeq and is a predicted model, not a curated record. Lineage: Eukaryota; Metazoa; Mollusca; Bivalvia; Ostreida; Ostreidae.
AGGUCAGAUGUCGAUGAUGAAGGCGAUCCAGAUUUUCCCAUGUCAACAGAAGAUGGGGAGACAGCCAUGUCAUUAGAUUUAGAAGUGGAAGAUGGAGCUGAGUCAAUUGAUGAUGACAGCAGUGGAGAAAGUGAAUCUGAAACAGAUAGUGGAGAAGAGGAUGUUCACAUUAAGGAGGAAGAAGAAAUCAUCAGUGAGAUCCCAUGUAAAAUAGUGUCCGCUGAACCAAGUAUAGAG